This 76-nucleotide transfer RNA is filed under the name Candidatus Sedimenticola endophacoides. RNAcentral's name for it is "tRNA-Thr". It matches the Rfam family "tRNA". From Rfam's summary of the family: Transfer RNA (tRNA) molecules are approximately 80 nucleotides in length. Their secondary structure includes four short double-helical elements and three loops (D, anti-codon, and T loops). Further hydrogen bonds mediate the characteristic L-shaped molecular structure. tRNAs have two regions of fundamental functional importance: the anti-codon, which is responsible for specific mRNA codon recognition, and the 3' end, to which the tRNAs corresponding amino acid is attached (by aminoacyl-tRNA synthetases). tRNAs cope with the degeneracy of the genetic code in two manners: having more than one tRNA (with a specific anti-codon) for a particular amino acid; and 'wobble' base-pairing, i.e. permitting non-standard base-pairing at the 3rd anti-codon position. The record is from RNAcentral. RNAcentral also lists the same sequence under 2 other names. Lineage: Bacteria; Pseudomonadati; Pseudomonadota; Gammaproteobacteria; Chromatiales; Sedimenticolaceae.
GCCACUGUAGCUCAGUCGGUAGAGCAACUGAUUCGUAAUCAGUAGGUCCGCGGUUCGAUUCCGCGCAGUGGCUCCA